This 279-nucleotide ribosomal RNA is filed under the name uncultured bacterium. RNAcentral's name for it is "partial 16S ribosomal RNA". It matches the Rfam family "Bacterial small subunit ribosomal RNA", at positions 506 to 784 of the family's 1533-position model. The record is from RNAcentral.
UGCCAGCCGCCGCGGUAAUACGGAGGGUGCGAGCGUUAAUCGGAAUCACUGGGCGUAAAGCGUAUGUAGGCGGAUUGGACAGUUGGAGGUGAAAUCCCGGAGCUCAACUCCGGAACUGCCUUCAAUACUUCCAGUCUAGAAUCUGUAAGGGGGUGGUGGAAUUCCGAGUGUAGAGGUGAAAUUCGUAGAUAUUCGGAGGAACACCAGUGGCGAAGGCGACCACCUGGUACAGUAUUGACGCUGAGAUGCGAAAGCGUGGGGAGCAAACAGGAUUAGAUA